Cynoglossus semilaevis (tongue sole) is the source of this 1143-nucleotide long non-coding RNA. RefSeq lists it as uncharacterized. NCBI's taxonomy places the organism in Eukaryota, Metazoa, Chordata, Actinopteri, Pleuronectiformes, Cynoglossidae. The transcript is spliced from 4 exons. The record is from RefSeq and is a predicted model, not a curated record.
GUGAAACUUUAACUUGUAAGGAGAAAAUGGCAGAAAGAUGACAACAUUGCUAAGGAUUUUCUAACUACCUGGCUUUAUGUCUAGUUAGUUUUUAUUUGUGAUUGGUGUCAUACAAAAAUGUGGUGUUUGCAUAUUUUGAUGGAUUUGUAAGAAUAAUUUUCGGAGAAAGUCGGACAGAGAUAAGGACGGACACGGGGAGGAAGUGGAUGCACCUGUACUUCCGGUAAGACAGACAUGUGCUGUAUUGGCGAUGGCGUGAAACUUUAACUUGUAAGAAGAAAAUGGCAGAAAGAGGACAACAUUGCUAAGGAUUUUCUAACUACCUGGCCACCCGGACCGCGGAGGCUGUUUUGGACCGAAAGACUAAGCAUGGCGGGACAAACAUGGAGAGCUGCUGUUGGAGGUGGCGUUGUGGCUGGGCUGCUGUUCACAGAAGUUCCAGUGACACAGGUCACGUUGCAGCGACCAACAUGGAUCAGCUGUUGGAAGGCACCUUGUGGCUGAGCUGAUGUUCACAGUAGUUCCAGUAACACAGAGAUGUAAGGAACAUAAAUGUCCGUGUCCACCAUGUUGUCCUGGACCUCUGGCAGUGAUGAUCUGGCGUCCGCUCCAGGCUGCUGCACCCUCCGCUCCCCUGCUGAAGUACACACAGACUGACUGAUUCCCUGGAAGUGCUGCUGCUGCUGCUGCUGCUGGCGACUGAGAUGGCGCCCCCUCUCCACCUGCUGUGGUCCUCCACUACAGUUGUAUCGCCUGCUCCAGUGUAUGUCCACUUGAAGAUGUAUCUGCAGCCGUCUGGACGUUGAAGCCUGCAGAAGUGAAGCUGAGGAAAUGGACAAUUAAAAUGGAAAUGACUAGGGGAAGGACUGGAAUGGACAUGGAGUGUUGUUUGUUUGUACAUGGUGUUGUUUCCAUUAAAUGUCCAAAGGAUGUUUUGUCUCUCAGUGUUUUUUUUUCUGUGCGAAACAGUCCAAAUGGCUGUUUGAGUGUGUACAGUUGCCGACCCUGAUGUAGGUCAGAACAGUGUAGUGAUGAGGAGGUCCUGAGAAGUAGGUGAAAUGUUUGCGAAAGUUGAAAAUGAAUGCACUCAGUGCCAUAGUGUAGGUAGUGACUGUAUGUCAUGUGGUUAAAAUAGUGUGGUUG